This 279-nucleotide long non-coding RNA is filed under the name Bos taurus (domestic cattle). RNAcentral's name for it is "long non-coding RNA NONBTAT012031". Lineage: Eukaryota; Metazoa; Chordata; Mammalia; Artiodactyla; Bovidae. The record is from RNAcentral.
UGCUCUCAUGGCCAUUUGUUUCAGGCCUAAAUGAAGUUCAGAGGUGAUGGGCCAGACCUUGGCCUUUUGAUAAGCGCCUCAGCUUCACAACACUGUUGCUUCUAUGGCAGGCAGACUGCCCCACCCCGUACAUCCUGGGGGCCCCUGGUAUCAUGUCCGGGUCCCCGCACUCAAGGAUUCUGGUGAUGUCACAUAUGCCUCUCCUUUUCCCCAUCUUUUCAGGGUUUUCUCCUGAGAAUUCAAAGUCCAUGGUUUAGCAUCUUGUUCAGCCACCUUCAU